UCUGCCUUCGGGGCGCAGCAGUAGGGAAUCUUCCACAAUGGGCGAAAGCCUGAUGGAGCAACGCCGCGUGGGUGAGGAAGUACUUCGGUAUGUAAAGCCCUAUCAGCAGGGAAGAAAAUGACGGUACCUGACUAAGAAGCCCCGGCUAACUACGUGCCAGCAGCCGCGGUAAUACGUAGGGGGCAAGCGUUAUCCGGAUUUACUGGGUGUAAAGGGAGCGUAGACGGCGUGCCAAGUCUGAUGUGAAAGGCCGGGGCUCAACCCCGGGACUGCAUUGGAAACUGGCAUGCUGGAGUGCCGGAGGG
RNAcentral lists this ribosomal RNA (305 nucleotides) under uncultured bacterium. Its description in RNAcentral is "bacterial SSU rRNA". It matches the Rfam family "Bacterial small subunit ribosomal RNA", at positions 333 to 656 of the family's 1533-position model. The record is from RNAcentral.